GGGGGCUCCAGGCUGCCAGGUGGGUGCCGGGAAGUAGCAACUGUCGGUGCGCAGCUUCCGGAGCCCGCGGGGUGCACCUCUCCUGGAGGGCAGUAAGCCCGAGCGGGGUUUCGUUUUCGCCCUGUAGGAAAGCUCUGAAGAACUGACCACCCCUUUCUCUUGGACGUCCUAAGGCGUCAGACCUCAAGAUAGAUGAAGCUGCAUCACAUAGUGUGGCUGGUGCGCAGGACAGGUGAGCUCCGAGCAACACAGACCCUGCGGCUCUGCUCCGUCUGGGUUGGAUUCGCUCUCGUGGCUUCCUAGAUGGGCCUUCCUCCACUGCUGCACUGCGGAGAGGCCGGCAGGCGCCACUCCUCACCCACAGUAGUCUCCUUGCAAAAAGCUAGGCGCGCAGCCUGGCUGAGAGCCCAGAGCGUCACCUACCCACACCUGGCGUGGCCCUUCUGUAGGAGACGGGAUUGGCUUCUGCAAGGCCAAAACCUAUGUCCGACUUCCUCGAAGAGGAUCUCACUCAGCUGUCCUCACAAAGUUUGGAGCCAGAAAGUCCCAUGAUCGCAAGGAAAUUCACUGAACUUCGGUUUCGCUUACGAGGCAUUUUGAGAUUUUUCUUGCUUUGCCAGAGGAAGAGGAGAGGAACUGUAAAGAAUGCUUUUUAUUCCUGUGGAGUGGAAUAGUCUGUAUCCACAUUGAAGCUUUCUUCUCUCCUGUAUCCUGGAGUUGGUCAGAGUUGGUUCCUCGAAUGCGGCAGCACUACCAUCUCUCAGGUCAAAUUACAAGACUUGUUACUGGAGAGCACUUUGUACACCCUAGACUGCCCCACAGUUGUUAGUUAACAAUGCUCUUUGGGGUUUUACUGGCACCUUUUUUUUCCAAAUAAGAUUGAUAUGUGCCUGCUCAAAUAAAUUAGAGUGCUCGUCUCAGAUGACAGGCACAUUGGCAGGCAGGUCGUGUUCACAGGCCAACUAGAGGACUAAUUUCAAUUCAGGGAUAUAACCAGUUCGUGAGUACUAAGUAAGGAUUAGCUUUCAUUUGAGUGUUUAAUGUGUUAUAGCAGAGCAUGUCAGGAGCUAGCAGCGAUGGGAAGAAGGCUGGUGGUGGCACUGAGGCAGCUUGUUGGAACACUUCCAUGUCAUUGGGGAGACCCCUGAGUUUCACCACAUCAGUACUAUUGACAUUUGGAGCUGGAUAACUUUUUUGAAGAUUGUCCUGUGCAUUUUAGGAUGUUUGGAACACCCCUGGCCUCUACCCAGUAGAUGCUUUUAGCAAACACCCUCACCAAGGCUGACAAGCAAAACUGUCUCCAAAGUCAAAUGUGUUGUUCUUUCUCUUCCCAACCCAAGGUUGAAAUUUUGCCAUGCCUAGUGAUGAUCCCAGAGGGCUUGUCAGGAAGGCACAGGCUCCAGCACGCCUGCCUCUCAAGCAAGGUCCUGAGUUUGAUCCCCAGUACUGGAAAAAAAAAAAGUGCACAGGCUAAGCCGGGUGUGGUGAAUCAUGCCUGUUAUCCCAACAAUCUGAGAAGCUGAGGCAGGAGGAUGGCAAGUUCUAGCCCAGCCUGGGCAACUUACUGAUUCAACUCUGUCUCAAAAUAAAUAAAAAGGUUCCGGUAUGUAACUCAGUGUGAAGGCCCUGGAUUCAGCCAUCAGUACUGGGUGGGGGAGCCACAUUCCAGAGCUAUGAAUCACUAAAUGUGGUUUUUAUGUCUACCUACCAAUAAAUGUUUUGAAUGAAUCUUAUCAAAGUGAGGGAGGAAAUUCAGACAAAUCCAGAUUGGGAGAUAUUCUAGAAAACAGCUCCAGUGGACUUUUAAAAAACUCAAUAAAAAUCCAAAAAAGCCAGGGAAUCCAUCCUGAAAAAGGGAUACCACAUCCAGGUCUAUCAGCUGACCCCUUGAUCCAGCACUGGUUGAAGCAGGAAGUUAUGACCUUUGAAGGACAAUUGGAGAACUUUGUGUGUGGAUGUCCUAUACAUUGGAGAAUGUUACUGAAUCAUUGUUAGUUUUUGCUUUCCUAUAGUUCACAAGAAUGUCCUUAUUCUUAAGAGAUGCUUACUGAAUCAUUGAAAGUCGAAAGUUCUAGUGACUACUUUCAAAUGGCUCAGAAAUUAAUAUGUUGCCAGGCGUGGUUGCACAUGCCUGUAAUCUCAGCACUUGGGAAGCUGAGGCAGGAGGAUCACUACAAGUUGGAGGCCGGCCUGGGCUACAAUAGUGACUUCAAGACCAGAACUACAUAGCAAGAUCCUGUCUGAAAAAACAAAACAGGGCCGGGGAUUUAGCUCAGUGGUUCUGCGGCCUGCCUCACAAGCUCAAGGUCCCAAGUUUGAUCCCUGGUACCAAAAAAAAAAAAGAAAGAAAGAAAGAAAUGCAUCAUAUACAGUACAUUACAUUCCAGGAUAGGUUCAAGCCCUGGGCAGAUAGGGAGUCUUGAAGGUAGAUAGCAAGGUAUGUCCUUGGCAGCAUUAACAGGUUAGAUAGGGAGAUAUGUUCUUGGCAGAGCUAGCAAGAAAAUAUGUGCUUAUGAUAAUCAUUCAUUACAGACUACAGAACUUUGGAGUUCUUAACUCCAAUUUCAAACUAAUCCGUACCCACUUCCUUUUCACUGGGAUUACGGUGGGUGCCACCAUGCAUAUAGUUAUUUUCUUUUACAGGUUCUCAACCAUACUUCUGAAGAUGGAGUCAGAGAGCCUGCAUGUUUUUUCUCCAAUAGCACUUGGAAUAUGGGAGUGGGAGAAGGGAAAGCAGAUAUGGGAUGGAGAGGUUAGACCUAAACUGGACCACAAUCUGUUCACCUAUGGGCAUUGAUACAGUAAUCAGAAACCUACCCUUGGAGUCCUUAUCAAGAGUCCAGCUCAACGAAGAAUUCCAUGAGGACGGGAGGUGAGAAGUAGCUAGAGUCAGCUGGAAAGAAAGGAAGGAGCCCUACCUUGGAGACCAAUUUGUAGGCUAGAUCCACCUUCUGUGUUAAACUUUGUCACCAGUGGACACAGGGGCCACUCUUGACACCAAAGGCACUUGAGGCCACUUUGGGGCUCAGAGGAGCUGAAGGGAGUCAGCAAGUCUGCCAAACAAAGAUCCCAAGAGUUGAGCAAUCUCCUGAAUGCAACAAUUUAUUGAGCAUUUACCACAUUCAUAGAAAGAGAGAAGGGAUCUCACCCAGACAUAAGCUAGGAGCUGGAGGUGGCACUGACAGUGCAGGACUUUCUUCCACCUGGCCUACACACUGUGUGAACACCGUGGGCCCAACAGGCAGCACUGGAACUCAGCGAUCUGCAGGCUGAGCACUGGAACUCAUGGCGAUCCAGAGACCAGUACAGCCAGGGAGCCAAGUGGGGAAUCCGGAUGGGCAGAGUGAUGGUCACAGACUGUUGCAGAGCUCAAGCAGCAGCUCCUCAAAGAGCAAUAUGAGGGCAGAGUCCAUAAGCAUUAAGCCAGAAGACCAAGCCCAAGAGCAGCUCAAGACUUCAUCUUUUAUGCUGUGGGGAAGUUGGUGCAAACAACAUGUGUUAAUCUUGACAGUAAAAAUAUAUUUUUUAGAAAACAUUUUUAUAAGUUUCUCAAAAGGGGUUCACAAAGUAAGAUUUUAGCAUGCAGGCCAUAUGGUUAUCACACAAUAGGGUUGACACUCAAGCACAGUGGUUGUGUGGUUAUCACAUGGGUCAGAAAGCUCAGACUCAGAAAGUAAGUUUGAAACAAGACAGAAGCAAAGGAUGGCUUCUGUCCUGCUCACAUUACACUUUAAUCUAGGUCCAGGAUAUCCUGGUCUAAGUGGAGAAGGAGAAGUAACAAAGUAACCCAUAGUAAGUCCCCUGACCUAUACUCAGAAGUCUUAAGCAACCUUUGUCCACUCUGUCCACACCAUAAUCAUCAUGUCAUUACCAAUGCUGUUUUAACCACUCCCCGCCACCAUUCCUGUGGGUUUGGGGCACCAUGAAAGUUUCUCCAAGGGCCAUAAAAAGUCAAAAACUGCCACUAAUUGGGAGGGCAGAAUCAAACCUCUCAUUGGCAAGAGCAACCUUUAGACCAACCCCUCAGUCCCUGCCCAAUCCUUAGUGCUUAAAACCUUCACCACCAAGCCUCUUCAAGGCAGGACCUUUUCUCACGGGUCCACUUCCACCUUGUACUUUCAGUAAAUCUUUGAUCUUUCUGCUCCUUUUGAGUGCCCUGCUCAAUUCUUCAUUGAGACACCAAGAACCUAGAUAAGAUUCUUGACUCAGUAAGAGGGGGACAGAAAAUUAUUUUUUCUUCCCCUGCUCUAACCUAUUUUCUCUUCUGUCUUUGGAAGCUCAGCAGCAACAAAACUUCAGGGAGCAAAAGAGACCCCUCUCCUCCCAGCAGCCUGGACUCUCAAGAGCCACCUUCGCUUGGGGCUGGGAACAUGAUUCACUGAUAGAACAUUUGCCUAGAAUGCAUGAGGCCCUAGGUUCAAUCCCCAAAAUGGGGUGGGGGAGCCCUGCUCAUGGAUUGGAAGACAAAUCUGUGGAGAGAGUAGAUUAGUUGUUGCUUAGAACUGAGGUGAUAAGAAGAUUUGAAAGGUGAUGGCUAAGUGUUACAAAGUUUUUUUGGGGGUAAUAAAAUGUUCUAAAAUAGCUUGUGACAAUGGACGCACAACUAUGAAUAUACUAAAAGCCAUUGAGUUAGGAACUUCCAAUGGGUGAAUUGUAUAGUAC
This 4662-nucleotide long non-coding RNA is filed under the name Heterocephalus glaber (naked mole-rat). Its description in RNAcentral is "lncRNA (ENSHGLG00000043850.1)". Lineage: Eukaryota; Metazoa; Chordata; Mammalia; Rodentia; Bathyergidae. The record is from RNAcentral.